GCUUGAGACCCUAAACCAUGAUUUUUGCUUGAGGACUUAACCCCACCUGCCCCUACUGAGAAGUUUUGUAUAAGAAGACACCUGCUUGUCACCUUGUGGAGAUGCUGUAUAUCGCCCUUGGUUUAAAUGCGCAGUUCCCUGCGGAAUCUCAUGCCCCAGAUUGAGAGCAUAUUUGGUCUAAUCCAGCUCCCUUUGAAAUCUAUGAGUGGAAAACCACACGAUCAGCUUGCAGAGCUGGCAUGCCAUAGAAAGAGAGGCAGAUGCUACAGGAAUAAAAGGAAAAGAAACCUGACAUGGAUGCAAAAUUGAGGUCUGAAUUCCCCAGUGGGAAUAAUGAGAGGGAAUGCUGGGAGAGAAGAAUGCAAUUGUAUUAGGCUCCGUCACAAUGGGAGAAUCAUAGAGUCGUAGAAUUGUAGAGCUGGAAGGAUUUGUUCUUGCAGAUGUAGUGGAGCAAAAAACAACAACUCAAAACACACUUGACACUUUUAAAAAAGGAGUGCUUUCACACUUCACAACAUGGGAAUGUGGCUAAUGGGAAUGUGGUGCAAAUUAUUUUUUAUUUUCUUUAUUAAAUGUCUAUAUGUCUUCAUCCAAGGACCACAGGGCGGUUCAUAACAUAAAAUGAAUCAGCUGAACCAAUCUGGUUCCUGCCUGUGUGUUUGCACUGCGUCACGCCUUGUCCUCAUGGUAAGCAGCAACAAUUCACCCACCAGGAGGUCAGGUAAGUGCCUCCGUCCCACCAUCCUGUCUGCUACUAGCUGUGGUGUCAUACCAGAAAUUCUGUUGCUUGUGACACUGUAGUAUUUUUGACACGGUUGGUGGUACCUAAAAUGUUUUGCUGUAGAUGAGUUCCCCAAAUCAACCAUGAAUGCAAAAAGAACCGCGGUGCCGUAAAACAAACGGCAAGAGCCAUACUAAGAAAUUGCAUUUUCCUGCAGCAGUGCCACUGUAAAUUCUUUUAUCAGUUCCCCUGUUAAUUAGAAUUGCUGUGUGUUGUCUAACAAUAGAAGAUUUCAUUAUGCCUUCUUCAGUAAUUAUAUAUUUUAACUAUAAAGUAUAGCCUAUAAAUAUCAGACAAAAACAAGCACCACCACCUUCUUUGGGUACAGUUAAGGUUGUAAAUAGACAUCCCUUUAGAACAACACUACACGGUGUGAAAAACUGAAGCUAACUACCAGCUUUGGAUACUGAGGUGAAGUUUAAAAGUUAUCCUUACCACAUUGUGAUGUGCUGGUAUAGGAAAUGAGCUG
Molecule: long non-coding RNA, 1250 nt
Organism: Podarcis raffonei (Aeolian wall lizard)
Lineage: Eukaryota; Metazoa; Chordata; Lepidosauria; Squamata; Lacertidae
Exons: 4
Source: RefSeq, a predicted model, not a curated record